This 253-nucleotide ribosomal RNA is filed under the name uncultured bacterium. RNAcentral describes it as "partial 16S ribosomal RNA". It matches the Rfam family "Bacterial small subunit ribosomal RNA", at positions 524 to 776 of the family's 1533-position model. The record is from RNAcentral.
UACGUAGGGUGCAAGCGUUGUCCGGAAUUAUUGGGCGUAAAGAGCUCGUAGGUGGCCUGUCGCGUCGGCUGUGAAAACUCGGGGCUCAACUCCGAGCUUGCAUUCGAUACGGGCAGGCUCGAGUUCGGUAGGGGAGACUGGAAUUCCUGGUGUAGCGGUGAAAUGCGCAGAUAUCAGGAGGAACACCGGUGGCGAAGGCGGGUCUCUGGGCCGAUACUGACGCUGAGGAGCGAAAGCGUGGGGAGCGAACAGG